AAAUUGAAGAGUUUGAUCAUGGCUCAGAUUGAACGCUGGCGGCAGGCCUAACACAUGCAAGUCGAGCGGAAACGAGUUAUCAGAACCUUCGGGGGACGAUAACGGCGUCGAGCGGCGGACGGGUGAGUAAUGCCUAGGAAAUUGCCCUGAUGUGGGGGAUAACCAUUGGAAACGAUGGCUAAUACCGCAUGAU
RNAcentral lists this ribosomal RNA (193 nucleotides) under Vibrio alginolyticus. RNAcentral describes it as "partial 16S ribosomal RNA". It matches the Rfam family "Bacterial small subunit ribosomal RNA", at positions 1 to 177 of the family's 1533-position model. RNAcentral also lists the same sequence under 2 other names. Lineage: Bacteria; Pseudomonadati; Pseudomonadota; Gammaproteobacteria; Vibrionales; Vibrionaceae. The record is from RNAcentral.